AGCAUAUCAAUAAGCGGAGGAAAAGAAACCAACAGGGAUUGCCCUAGUAACGGCGAGUGAAGCGGCAACAGCUCAAAUUUGAAAUCUGGCGCAAGCCCGAGUUGUAAUUUGUAGAGGAUGUUUCUGGCGACGUGCCUUCCGAGUUCCCUGGAACGGGACGCCAUAGAGGGUGAGAGCCCCGUACGGUUGGAUGCCUAGCCUCUGUGAAACUCCUUCGACGAGUCGAGUAGUUUGGGAAUGCUGCUCUAAAUGGGAGGUAUACGUCUUCUAAAGCUAAAUACCGGCCAGAGACCGAUAGCGCACAAGUAGAGUGAUCGAAAGAUGAAAAGCACUUUGAAAAGAGGGUUAAAAAGUACGUGAAAUUGUUGAAAGGGAAGCGUUCAUGACCAGACUUGGGCAGGUUGAUCAUCCGUGGUUCUCCGCGGUGCACUCUGCCUGCCCAGGCCAGCAUCAGUUCGCCCCGGGGGAUAAAGACUUUGGGAAUGUGGCUCCCUCGGGAGUGUUAUAGCCCACUGUGUAAUACCCUGGGGUGGACUGAGGUUCGCGCUCUGCAAGGAUGCUGGCGUAA
This 568-nucleotide ribosomal RNA is filed under the name Clonostachys rosea. Its description in RNAcentral is "eukaryotic LSU rRNA". It matches the Rfam family "Eukaryotic large subunit ribosomal RNA", at positions 37 to 634 of the family's 3401-position model. Lineage: Eukaryota; Fungi; Ascomycota; Sordariomycetes; Hypocreales; Bionectriaceae. The record is from RNAcentral.